AAUUUGACACAGAUGUUAGCUCAGAGACAAUCUUCCUCACCAAAAAAAAAAAAAAAAAGCAUUUUAUGAUUUAGUAGAUCCAGAGAAAAGCCAGACAUUCUGCAUUGCUAAUAACCUCUCUGGUGAUGCAGAUGCUGCUGGUCUGUACCAGACAUUUUCAGUAGCAAAAUUGAGUAACUAUUUUUUUUCUGACCAUGUCAUUCAACCUUGCAGAUUCCUUCUACAUGGAACCUUUACUGAUGGCAUGACGCCAACCCAUUCUCAUACCUGCAAGUCAAAUCUUACCUCCUUAUGUGAAGGAUUUUUUUCUGUUAAGGGAGAGAAUUCAUAACUUCCUACUCUAAUGGCUUUCCCUUACAUUUAGGAUAAAAUGCAAAGUCCGUACCAGGCUUAGAAAGUCUACCUUUCCAACCCCUUUUCCUACGACUUUCCUCCUCACCCCACCACACUGAUCUUGCACUAUUGCAAUAUGCCAAACAUUCCCUAGCGUUAGGGAUUUUUUUAAAAUUUGCUCUGCCCAUCACAUGUCCUCAUGGCUUGGUCCCUCUUUUUCUUCAGGCCUUUGAUCAAAGAUCUCCUCAAACAGGUCAUUGGAUUGAAUUGACCCCUACACAAAGCUACCUAGAUGAGACUGAAAUGAAGGCUGAAAUCCAGCCUCUGCUUGGUUUACUAGACCAGAUUAAGAUUAAUCUGGUAGCAGAGGGCAGGAGAAGUAGACAGAAGAAUCACAAAACUCUUGCAGUAAAGCAAAUAUGAGAAAAGUAAGAAGCUAAACUGGGGCAAUUGCCAUGGAAAUAGAAAGCCGUGCUGGUGCCUAAGAAAGGCUGUGCAUGCAUGGAGGAAGUUGUGCCUUUUAGUAAAGUGCUCAAAGGUAUUAAAUGGUCUAGCAACUGGCCAGGUCUCAGAGUGGUCUUCCUUGAUCACCCAGUUUAAAAUACCAACCUCCUCACUAUUUCUAUCCCCUUACUCUGCUUUAAUUUUCUUAAAAAAAAUGAUGAAUCAGACAUUUUGUUAUGUAUCUUGAUUUCUUUUUGUUGUUUCUAUUUGAAACUCUGAAUGUCAGCUCAGUGAAGGAAGAACCUUUUUCUUUGUUUACUGAAAUAUGCCUACAGCCUGGAACAGUAUGUACGGUAUAAAAUAAGCAUUCACAUAAAUAUUAAUUUAAUUAAUCAAUGAAUGAAUACUCAGAGCCUCCAUAAAACAUACAAUAUGGAGCUAUAAGACAGAUAUAGGUUCAGGUCCUAACUUAACUACUUAGGGAAGUUACUUAUCUUCUCUGAAAAUGUUUCUUCAUCUGUAAAUGGGAAUAAUAGUAAUACUUGACUCACUGGAGGGUGGGGACAAUGACAUGGCAUAAUUAAUGUAAAGUUCUUAAUUUAUUUCACACCUUAUUGCAGUUGUUUACUUUUGUUUUUUCCCCUUGGCUAUGAGCUCCAUGAGAUCUCUUCUUACAGUGCUUAGUGUAUAAUAUGUAGUGAAGAAAACUUAUUUUCAAUAAUUCAUUCACAAAUAUUGUUCACUGAGUGACUACUCUGUGCCAGGUGCUCUGUUCUGAUACUUGGGAUACACAAUAAAGAGUGUGUGGGACCUCAUGAGCCUCACAUAGCUUCUGUGCAAUAAGGGAAACAGACAUAAACAAAUAAUCAAGAAAGCAAAAACAAACAAGAAAUCUUCUAUAGCUUGUAAUGUUACAAGAAAGAAAGAAACAAGGAACUGUCGUAGAAUGACCAUAAGGAAAUAGUUCUUUAACAUUUUGGAGGAGUGAAGAUUAUGGGUAAUAUUUGUAUUUGUUUAUUUUAAAUAUCUACUGAUAUCACACUGUAUUUUAUUAGCAAUAUCCUCUUUUUUGUCAAUGAGACAUAAAACAGGUAUCAAGGGUAUUUGCAAUCAUUUUUGACAAAUUUCUCAGGUAGAUGGCUCCUAGUCAGUGGAAGAUCAGGUGAUGUUUAUAGAGUAGUCAUUUCCAGCUCUACCCUUCCAGAGUGCCCAAUGCUCUGACUUUCCCUGAGCUCCUAUGGGAGAAGGGUGUGAUGUGUGAUAUAGGGCUAUCUCCAGGGUUCUGACAGCAAAGAGAAGCAUGCUUGGUGGGUUUAACUAAGGAGAAGUUAAUGAGCAGAACAAUCACUGUGGUGUGGGUGGAGUUAAGUGAAUGAUCAAAGACUAUUGAGAUAUCACAGACUAACUGCAGGGGAAACCAUUACUGCCCAUAGGCUGGAAGGUGCAAGAGGAAAGGAUGUGUUGCUGGAGCCAGGAGAGAUCUUGGAGCCAGAGAGGAGUGGCUGCUGUGAUGGGAGCUAGACUAUCAAAUGCAGGGAGUAAAGUAGCAAAGCAGGAAGGAGAGGGGCAGAAAUGCCUAAUCAGUCUUUCUUCUUCUAUGUUGCAAUUUUCCUACUGGUAACUCUUUUAGCCAAACCUAAAUGGAAGCUGGAGAGUAAAGAAACCUGGGUGACAGAGGCCAUAAAACGCAACUUCCUCUGGCAGAGUGCAGGAUGGUGAAGAGCAGACCAAAUGAGUUCAAAGUUACUGAAGUGAUCUGGAAGAUAAAAGAGGCGGUUUGGGUAAAUGUUCCAAAAGGAAAACGAAUUAACUUGUUAUUCUUUGAGAUGUGUUGAAUCACUUCCACCAAUAAAAUAAACACACAAUUUAAAAACCA
Molecule: non-coding RNA, 2653 nt
Organism: Equus caballus (horse)
Lineage: Eukaryota; Metazoa; Chordata; Mammalia; Perissodactyla; Equidae
Source: RefSeq, a predicted model, not a curated record